ACGUAGGGUCCAAGCGUUGUCCGGAUUUACUGGGCGUAAAGAGCGCGUAGGCGGCUUGGUAAGUGUGGUGUGAAAUCUCCAGGGCUCAACCCGGAAACUGCACCGCAGACUGUCAGGCUUGAGGAAUGCAGAGGUAACUGGAAUUCCUGGUGUAGCGGUGAAAUGCGCAGAGAUCGGGAGGAACACCAAUGGCGAAAGCAGGUAACUGGACUAUUACUGACGCUAAGCUGCGAAAGCUAGGGGAGCAAACAGGA
This 254-nucleotide ribosomal RNA is filed under the name uncultured prokaryote. Its description in RNAcentral is "partial 16S ribosomal RNA". It matches the Rfam family "Bacterial small subunit ribosomal RNA", at positions 525 to 777 of the family's 1533-position model. The record is from RNAcentral.